This 453-nucleotide long non-coding RNA is filed under the name Brachypodium distachyon (stiff brome). Its description in RNAcentral is "long non-coding RNA (BDIS_LNC002549)". Lineage: Eukaryota; Viridiplantae; Streptophyta; Magnoliopsida; Poales; Poaceae. The record is from RNAcentral.
AUGGUGGCGUGGAUGCAGGGCAAGGUCGAUGAAGCCGAAGCCGCCGACGAGGAUGUUGUUGGAGAAGCCCCUGAUGCCGAGGAUGCACCUGACACCGACGCAGCCGCCUCGGGAGCACCUCCUGCAUGAUUGCCUGUUUUUUUUCUUAUUUUCCUGCAAGUGGCGCAUGGCGCCUUAGAACUUUCUUGUGUUAGCUUUCCCUUGUCAUCACAAGUGUUAUUUGUUAACUCGUUUGCUCAAGCUUCAUUAUAUCCAAUGCUACUUUUACUUGCUUCUUUGUCUAAAACUAGCUUGCCGGGGAGGGGCACUGUAAUUCUCGUGCUUUAGCCUUGCGUAUCCGGGGACUCGCCAACUACAUGGUUGGCCAGACUAGGGAUCCAAGACGGACCCGCGGUGCCAAUCUAGGACCAAACAGCAGCGGCUAGUCACUCCGCCGGCGGGUUAACUACCCCA